RNAcentral lists this long non-coding RNA (306 nucleotides) under Nicotiana benthamiana. Its description in RNAcentral is "long non-coding RNA (NBEN_LNC019126)". The record is from RNAcentral. Lineage: Eukaryota; Viridiplantae; Streptophyta; Magnoliopsida; Solanales; Solanaceae.
CUCAUUUCCAAAGUUGUUGUCAUGCUAGGAGAAAGUACAGUACCCAUCACUUUCUCCCCUACCUUACCAGGACGAACAGCCACAGUUGUCUUCUCAGAAUCAUCAUUUACUUCCCCAGUAGGUUGACACCGUCGUAAGUGUGUCUUACUAUCACCAGCUGUUUAAAAUCGAAGAACAGACAGAUCAGCUCUUCCCCAGUAGGCUGACACCGUCGUAAGUGUGUCUUACUAUCACCAGCUGUUUAAAAUCGAAGAACAGACAGAUCAGCAAAUGAAAUCAAGCAGGAAGACUCCAAUUGAUUAAGAC